UGUGGCUUAGUGGUAGAGCACUUGCCUGGCAUGUGUGAGGCCCUGGGUUCAAUCCUCAGCA
Molecule: transfer RNA, 61 nt
Filed under: Urocitellus parryii (Arctic ground squirrel)
Lineage: Eukaryota; Metazoa; Chordata; Mammalia; Rodentia; Sciuridae
Also listed under: 2 other names
Description: Spermophilus parryii (Arctic ground squirrel) tRNA
Rfam family: tRNA
About the family: Transfer RNA (tRNA) molecules are approximately 80 nucleotides in length. Their secondary structure includes four short double-helical elements and three loops (D, anti-codon, and T loops).
Source: Rfam by way of RNAcentral